UGGCGGGAGUAAACGCAUGUUUAGUUUGAUAGGAUAAUCUAAAUUCAAUUAUUAUUAUACGUCAAUUUUUAUGCAAAAAAUGCAUUUGUAUGUACAUAAAUGAAUGAAUUGGUUAUUAAUAAAAUUAAAGAAAUGAAUUUUAGAUCCAUGAAGUAAACAAUAUCAUUAAGAAAAUACAAGGGAAGUGGCACUUCCACCGCUUUCAAGGGCAGCAAGCCACUGGGAGCAAGUGUCUUACAGGAAUUCGUUUGUCAUAAUGUAGAAGGAUGAAUGAAAGUUCCCAUCAUUAAGAAGUGAACAAACAAACGGAAAAAAAUAAAGACCACUAAGAUUACUGGUGGACUGAAGAUGACAAUAUUAGGUGCUGUUAAUUGCUAUCAGUACAAUUGAACUAGUUCAAAGCAAUCAAACUUUAACAAAGAAGUCACAGCUGUGUUUUGAGAGCUGAUGAAUAUGUAGUAGUUUUUUGGACUGCUGGGACCUUUGUCUUUAGCAUCCUUCUGACACAAACAAGACUUCCUUUCAUAUGGAUUCUUGUCCUUUUGGUUGUAAGGACACUCAAUUUAAAUAGGGACUAAGAGGAUAAAGAACGAAAGACAUGACAUGAUAAGAUACUUACAGAACUCUCCUGAAUGAUUGUAUAACAUGUGGACACUGAGUAAUGUUGUAAGUAGUUUAUUUAUAGAUAUAUAAACAUAUAUACAGGAUGAGUGGAAAGUAACUAGGCACCAAGAAAUCAUUAUAAUUUCUAUAGUUUAAUGCAAAGCUGAUGAAAAUUAUUUUAUAUGUAUUUUAUUAAAUGGAAAUAUGGAUGCAUACCUUAAAAUUCAACAUAGGCACUGGCACCACCCACCAACUUCCUCAAGUGAUCAGGGAUCAUGAUGUGGAUGGACAGCCACUGUGAACCUGCAACCAGUUUGUGGUCAUUUGCUCUGAAUGGCAUUUCUUGCUUGUUUAUGUAUGGAUUGUGGCAUGACAUCCCUUUGUUGUAUGCCACCAUCUCUGCACAGCAACCACUGAUCUCCACAUCUCAUACUGUGCAGCAAUCUGCACUCAUUCCUGAACAGACAAAUGGUUAGCCAUUUCUUUUGCAACUACACAUGUGGCCUCUCUUGGAACUUCCCAGAGAGAUGUAGUCCUUUUAGCUUCUGUCAGUAGGAAUUAUAAAAUUUCAUUGACUGAUGUACACACGUGCACACAAAUUUUAUUAUGAUUGCAUUAUUACUACAAAAAGUAUAGCAAUUUUGCAAUUUCUAGUAUCUUUCUGGCCACCCUCUAGUUAGAACUCUAGAUUCUCAUCUUGGCUGGUGAUGUCUACUUAGGCAAGAGAUGGAGAUACACAGGCCAAGAUAAAAAGAGUGGAGUCAAUGAACCAACUUUCAGAUGCUUAAGAAGGAUAAAGAAGAGAAAAGAGAAACCACAAAAAAGGACUUUGUGGAAAAACUCCUAACAAAUGAAAGUUUAUUUAAAACAAAUUCAAAUAAUAUGAAUAUUAGUUCUGUAUUCAUGUUUUUUUUUUAAUUUUGUGAUAUGCUCUGGGAAUGAAGCAUUAAAUGCUUUAUUCUGAAUAAUUCAUUCUAAUUUUCUGAAUAAAUGUUAUUCAGAAAAUUAUUUUCAUUAUGAAGUAAUUUUGCAGUUAGUGAAUUAUGUAUAUUUUCUGUUCUAUUCUUGUAGUCUCUGAAAAUGUUGAAAGACCUGUUAAUCUGAAUACAUUAUUGAUCGAUGUAAAUAAUAAUUAUAAUCAAUAAAGGUAAUUUUUUAAAUUCAUUACUUGCUUAUUUAACUAUUUUUAUUAAUGUUAUUUACCAAAUGCUAAUAUUUUUUAAGCCUUCUUGAAGUCAGCUGAUUAAUAGAUACUACAGAGAAUAUUAAGACUUUACAAUAUAUAGAAGAAUGAUAUUUAUAAAGAAAGAUUUUCAGAAUAUAAUAUGGAUUAUCCUUUUUUUUAAGAAUUGUUGAUAAAGAACACAUCCGAGAAAACUGAAAUCAUUGACCUUCUUUUUUAGAGCUACUCAACUGUUUCAAAAAUUUAAGAUGUUUGAGAAGUCUGUGCACACAACCAGUGCCAUAACUAGGCAGGUGCAACAGGUGCACCCACACAGAGUCCUCUUGAAAGGGGAGCCAAAAAUGCAUGCAUUUGGUUUAUUAUUUUCCCAAACAUAAUUAAUUAAGAGGCCUAAAUGCAAAUUCUUGCACAGGGCACAGG
Molecule: long non-coding RNA, 2206 nt
Organism: Centruroides sculpturatus (bark scorpion)
Lineage: Eukaryota; Metazoa; Arthropoda; Arachnida; Scorpiones; Buthidae
Exons: 4
Source: RefSeq, a predicted model, not a curated record